UCACUCUCAGUGUGCAUGUCUCCUUUCUUUCUUUCUUUCUUUCUUUCUUUGUGUAUCAUCUCUAACACUCUUGCCCUACCCUUCUUAAACAAAAACCUCUCUUCGAUCAUCUAUUUAUAUCUUACUUAAGCACAAUAUAUUUUUUUUCCUACUAUUGUGUAUAAAUCUAUAUGAUCUUUAGCCUAAGCAUAAUAGCAUUCUUCUCUCUCUCUCUCUCUCAUAUUUCUUUUUGCAUAACAGAAAUUCCUAAAAGAAAAGAAGAUAUCAAGAGUGUAAAAAGCUCAUUUAGAGGCAGAGAAUGCAAAUAUUUAAUGAGGUUGCUCAAACUCAAACAUGUAUAUCAUCCAAGGUUAUUGCACCAUGAAGGCUAUUCCAUGAUGGAGAAAUGAAAAUCUUAAUUAGCACUUUCUGGUAUAUAUUGAGUAAGCAAUUGAAAAUUAUUUUUUAUUUAUUUCAUUCUGGUGAUAAAUUUUCUUGAAUUAUUUAGAAGAAAAUUAGCCUUCCAAUUAAUCAUACUUCAUCCAACUAGGGCUUUAUAUGUGUGUGUGUGUGGAAUAUGCUUUGGCUUCCCAGAGACCCCAGCUAUUUGUGUUGUCUGUUAACCUUUACAAGAAACUUUGAAGGAAGAGGCAAAGAAAUGUGAAUGAACUAUACAUAGAUAAAAAUAUAUUCCUACAACUGUAAGUAAUUUGUAGUUAUCUAAGUUUAUAAUGAAUAGAAAUUCAAAUAUAAAGUAUCAGACUAAUAAAACACACAUGCAUUCCAUUACUGAGUUACUGGUGA
Jatropha curcas is the source of this 783-nucleotide long non-coding RNA. RefSeq lists it as uncharacterized. The record is from RefSeq and is a predicted model, not a curated record. Lineage: Eukaryota; Viridiplantae; Streptophyta; Magnoliopsida; Malpighiales; Euphorbiaceae.